RNAcentral lists this ribosomal RNA (552 nucleotides) under Botrytis cinerea. RNAcentral describes it as "eukaryotic LSU rRNA". The stretch from base 188 to 341 matches the Rfam family "5.8S ribosomal RNA". Lineage: Eukaryota; Fungi; Ascomycota; Leotiomycetes; Helotiales; Sclerotiniaceae. The record is from RNAcentral.
GGAAUUUAGCUUUCGUACGUGACCUGCGGAAGGAUCAUUACAGAGUUCAUGCCCGAAAGGGUAGACCUCCCACCCUUGUGUAUUAUUACUUUGUUGCUUUGGCGAGCUGCCUUCGGGCCUUGUAUGCUCGCCAGAGAAUACCAAAACUCUUUUUAUUAAUGUCGUCUGAGUACUAUAUAAUAGUUAAAACUUUCAACAACGGAUCUCUUGGUUCUGGCAUCGAUGAAGAACGCAGCGAAAUGCGAUAAGUAAUGUGAAUUGCAGAAUUCAGUGAAUCAUCGAAUCUUUGAACGCACAUUGCGCCCCUUGGUAUUCCGGGGGGCAUGCCUGUUCGAGCGUCAUUUCAACCCUCAAGCUUAGCUUGGUAUUGAGUCUAUGUCAGUAAUGGCAGGCUCUAAAAUCAGUGGCGGCGCCGCUGGGUCCUGAACGUAGUAAUAUCUCUCGUUACAGGUUCUCGGUGUGCUUCUGCCAAAACCCAAAUUUUUCUAUGGUUGACCUCGGAUCAGGUAGGGAUACCCGCUGAACUUAAGCAUAUCAAUAGGCGGAGGAAUA